GGUUAAUAUUCCUGUACUUGGUGUUACUGCGAAGGGGGGACGGAGAAGGCUAUGUUGGCCGGGCGACGGUUGUCCCGGUUUAAGCGUGUAGGCUGGUUUUCCAGGCAAAUCCGGAAAACCAAGGCUGAGGCGUGAUGACGAGGCACUACGGUGCUGAAGCGACAAAUGCCCUGCUUCCAGGAAAAGCCUCUAAGCAUCAGGUAACAUCAAAUCGUACCCCAAACCGACACAGGUGGUCAGGUAGAGAAUACCAAGGCGCUUGAGAGAACUCGGGUGAAGGAACUAGGCAAAAUGGUGCCGUAACUUCGGGAGAAGGCACGCUGAUAUGUAGGUGAAGCGACUUGCUCGUGGAGCUGAAAUCAGUCGAAGAUACCAGCUGGCUGCAACUGUUUAUUAAAAACACAGCACUGUGCAAACACGAAAGUGGACGUAUACGGUGUGACGCCUGCCCGGUGCCGGAAGGUUAAUUGAUGGGGUUAGCGGUAACGCGAAGCUCUUGAUCGAAGCCCCGGUAAACGGCGGCCGUAACUAUAACGGUCCUAAGGUAGCGAAAUUCCUUGUCGGGUAAGUUCCGACCUGCACGAAUGGCGUAAUGAUGGCCAGGCUGUCUCCACCCGAGACUCAGUGAAAUUGAACUCGCUGUGAAGAUGCAGUGUACCCGCGGCAAGACGGAAAGACCCCGUGAACCUUUACUAUAGCUUGACACUGAACAUUGAGCCUUGAUGUGUAGGAUAGGUGGGAGGCUUUGAAGUGUGGACGCCAGUCUGCAUGGAGCCGACCUUGAAAUACCACCCUUUAAUGUUUGAUGUUCUAACGUUGGCCCCUAAUCGGGGUUGCGGACAGUGUCUGGUGGGUAGUUUGACUGGGGCGGUCUCCUCCUAAAGAGUAACGGAGGAGCACGAAGGUUGGCUAAUCCUGGUCGGACAUCAGGAGGUUAGUGCAAUGGCAUAAGCCAGCUUGACUGCGAGCGUGACGGCGCGAGCAGGUGCGAAAGCAGGUCAUAGUGAUCCGGUGGUUCUGAAUGGAAGGGCCAUCGCUCAACGGAUAAAAGGUACUCCGGGGAUAACAGGCUGAUACCGCCCAAGAGUUCAUAUCGACGGCGGUGUUUGGCACCUCGAUGUCGGCUCAUCACAUCCUGGGGCUGAAGUAGGUCCCAAGGGUAUGGCUGUUCGCCAUUUAAAGUGGUACGCGAGCUGGGUUUAGAACGUCGUGAGACAGUUCGGUCCCUAUCUGCCGUGGGCGCUGGAGAACUGAGGGGGGCUGCUCCUAGUACGAGAGGACCGGAGUGGACGCAUCACUGGUGUUCGGGUUGUCAUGCCAAUGGCACUGCCCGGUAGCUAAAUGCGGAAGAGAUAAGUGCUGAAAGCAUCUAAGCACGAAACUUGCCCCGAGAUGAGUUCUCCCUGAGACUUAGAGUCUCCUGAAGGAACGUUGAAGACGACGACGUUGAUAGGCCGGGUGUGUAAGCGCAGCGAUGCGUUGAGCUAACCGGUACUAAUGAACCGUGAGGCUUAACCUUACAACGCCGAAG
This 1531-nucleotide ribosomal RNA is filed under the name Escherichia coli. Its description in RNAcentral is "partial 23S ribosomal RNA". It matches the Rfam family "Bacterial large subunit ribosomal RNA", at positions 1428 to 2925 of the family's 2925-position model. The record is from RNAcentral. Lineage: Bacteria; Pseudomonadati; Pseudomonadota; Gammaproteobacteria; Enterobacterales; Enterobacteriaceae.